RNAcentral lists this ribosomal RNA (491 nucleotides) under uncultured bacterium. RNAcentral's name for it is "partial 16S ribosomal RNA". It matches the Rfam family "Bacterial small subunit ribosomal RNA", at positions 29 to 507 of the family's 1533-position model. The record is from RNAcentral.
AGUGAACGCUGGCGGUAGGCCUAACACAUGCAAGUCGAACGGCAGCACAGUAAGAGCUUGCUCUUACGGGUGGCGAGUGGCGGACGGGUGAGGAAUACAUCGGAAUCUACUUUUUCGUGGGGGAUAACGUAGGGAAACUUACGCUAAUACCGCAUACGACCUACGGGUGAAAGCAGGGGAUCUUCGGACCUUGCGCGAUUGAAUGAGCCGAUGUCGGAUUAGCUAGUUGGCGGGGUAAAGGCCCACCAAGGCGACGAUCCGUAGCUGGUCUGAGAGGAUGAUCGGCCACACUGGAACGGGGACCCGGUCCAAACUCUUAGGGGAGGCAGAGGUGGGGAAUAUUGGCCAUGGGGCGAAAGCCUGACCCAGCAAUCCCGCGUGGGUGAGGAAGGCCUCCGGGUUGUAAAGCCUUUUUGUUGGGAAGAAAAGCAGCAGGUUAAUACCCCGCUGUUCUGACGGUACCCAAAGAAUAAGCACCGGCUAACUUCGUG